CCCUGCUCACUGAAGGGCAGGUGUCGGUCUCUACCCCUGCUCACUGAGGGGCAGGUGUGGGUCUACCCUGCUCACUGAGGGGCAGGUGUGCAUCUACCCCUGCUCACUGAGGGGCAGGUGUGCGUCUACCCCUGCUCACUGGGGGGCAGGUGUGGGUCUCUACCCCUGCUCACUGAGGGGCAGGUGUGCGUCUCUACCCCUGCUCACUGAGGGGCAGGUGUGCGUCUCCACCCCUGCUCACUGAGGGGCAGGUGUGUGUCUACCCCUGCUCACUGAGGGCAGGUAUGGGUCUCUACCCCCUGCUCACUGAGGGGCAGGUGUGGGUCUCUACCCCUGCUCACUGAGGGGCAGGUGUGCGUCUACCCCUGCUCACUGGGGGACAAGUGUGGGUCUCUACCCCUGCUCACUGAGGGGCAGGUGUGGGUCUACCCCUGCUCACUGAGGGGCAGGUGUGCGUCUCUACCCCUGCUCACUGAGGGCAGGUGUGGGUCUACACCUGCUCACUGAGGGGCAGGUGUGCAUCUACCCCUGCUCACUGAGGGCAGGUGUGCGUCUACCCCCUGCUCACUGAGGGGCAGGUGUGCGUCCCUACCCCCUGCUCACUGAGGGCAGGUGCGUCCCUACCCCCUGCUCACUGAGGGGCAGGUGUGGGUCUACCCCUGCUCACUGAGGGGCAGGUGUGCGUCUACCCCUCCUCACUGAGGGGCAGGUGUGGGUCUACCCCUGCUCACUGGGGGGCAGGUGUGCGUCUACCCGUCCUCACUGAGGGGCAGGUGUGGGUCUACCCCUGCUCACUGGGGGCAGGUGUGGGUCUACCCUGCUCACUGGGGGGCAGGUGUGCGUCCCUACCCCUGCUCACUGGGGGGCAGGUGUGCGUCUACCCCUGCUCAAUGGGGGGCAGGUGUGCGUCUACCCCUGCUCACUGAGGGGCAGGUGUGGGUCUACCCUGCUCACUGGGGGGCAGGUGUGGGUCUACCCUGCUCACUGGGGGGCAGGUGUGCGUCUACCCCUGCUCACUGGGGGCAGGUGUGGGUCUUCCAUGGUUUGCGUGUCAUCUGCAACAACAUAGGAAAACCUGCUCAGGAAAAGAGAAGCCAGGAGAACGGAGGAGAUUACUGUUCCAGGUGUUUUCAUUAUGAAGAAAACUAAAGGGAAAAUCUGAUCGACAUCGUGGACACCAGGAACCGAUUUAAAAAAAAAAAAAAAACACACAAAAAACGCUACCCACACCAGGAUCUCCAUAAUAUCACCGAUCCUAAAGCUUCUGCCGCCUUCGCGAAGUCUGGGAAAAACAAGGCGGCGGAGACCUUGCUUCGGAAGCGAAUGGCUCCGGUGGUGGGAACAAGCAGCUUUUUGAGACACUGUUACACCGCACGCACGGCGGAAUGGCGGUCGCCGCGGCGCCGGGGCGGGGCUUCCAACGCCGCGUCCCUCGGCGCGCGAACGCCCCGAGGAGGUUUGGCCUCCGGGCCCCGCCGUAGGUCGCGAUGCAUUCUGGGCCUCCGCAAUAUGGCGUCCUCCUUGAUGUGCUGAUGAGAGGAGUUUCACUGUAGCGCCAAACCAGAGGGCAAAACUCCCCCAAGCCAGUAAGCGCGCGUUCCGCGUUGUUUCCGCGGGCCCGUGCCGCCCGGCCCUCGGGACUUGUCCUCAGGCAGGACAGACCCACGGGGCCGAAGGCCAGGGCCAGGCAGGC
Oryctolagus cuniculus (rabbit) is the source of this 1693-nucleotide long non-coding RNA. NCBI's taxonomy places the organism in Eukaryota, Metazoa, Chordata, Mammalia, Lagomorpha, Leporidae. The record is from Ensembl.